RNAcentral lists this ribosomal RNA (496 nucleotides) under uncultured bacterium. Its description in RNAcentral is "partial 16S ribosomal RNA". It matches the Rfam family "Bacterial small subunit ribosomal RNA", at positions 28 to 506 of the family's 1533-position model. The record is from RNAcentral.
GAUGAACGCUGGCGGCGUGCCUAAUACAUGCAAGUCGAGCGAACAGACGAGGAGCUUGCUCCUCUGACGUUAGCGGCGGACGGGUGAGUAACACGUGGAUAACCUACCUAUAAGACUGGGAUAACUUCGGGAAACCGGAGCUAAUACCGGAUAAUAUAUUGAACCGCAUGGUUCAAUAGUGAAAGACGGUUUUGCUGUCACUUAUAGAUGGAUCCGCGCCGCAUUAGCUAGUUGGUAAGGUAACGGCUUACCAAGGCGACGAUGCGUAGCCGACCUGAGAGGGUGAUCCGCCACACUUGAACUGAGACACGGUCCAGACUCCUACGGGAGGCAGCAGUAGGGAAUCUUCCGCAAUGGGCGAAAGCCUGACGGAGCAACGCCGCGUGAGUGAUGAAGGUCUUCGGGUCGUAAAACUCUGUUAUUAGGGAAGAACAAAUGUGUAAGUAACGAUGCACGUCUUGACGGUACCUAAUCAGAAAGCCACGGCUAACUACGU